RNAcentral lists this ribosomal RNA (119 nucleotides) under Pteropus alecto (black flying fox). Lineage: Eukaryota; Metazoa; Chordata; Mammalia; Chiroptera; Pteropodidae. The record is from RNAcentral.
GUCUACAGCCAUGGCACCCUGAAUGCGCCUGAUCUUGUCUGAUCUCAGAAGCUAAGCAGGGUCGGGCCUGGUUAAUACUUGGAUGGGAGACCACCUAGAAAGACCAGGUGCUGUAGGUG